Molecule: ribosomal RNA, 252 nt
Filed under: uncultured bacterium
Lineage: Bacteria
Description: partial 16S ribosomal RNA
Rfam family: Bacterial small subunit ribosomal RNA
Source: RNAcentral
UACGUAGGGGGCAAGCGUUGUCCGGAAUUAUUGGGCGUAAAGCGCGCGCAGGCGGCUGUUUAAGUCUGGUGUAUAAACCUGGGGCUCAACUCCGGGUCGCACUGGAAACUGGAUAGCUUGAGUGCAGAAGAGGAGAGUGGAAUUCCACGUGUAGCGGUGAAAUGCGUAGAGAUGUGGAGGAACACCAGUGGCGAAGGCGACUCUCUGGGCUGUAACUGACGCUGAGGCGCGAAAGCGUGGGGAGCAAACAGG